Molecule: ribosomal RNA, 495 nt
Filed under: uncultured bacterium
Lineage: Bacteria
Description: partial 16S ribosomal RNA
Rfam family: Bacterial small subunit ribosomal RNA
Source: RNAcentral
GAUGAACGCUGGCGGCGUGCCUAAUACAUGCAAGUAGAACGCUGAAGGAGGAGCUUGCUCUUCUGGAUGAGUUGCGAACGGGUGAGUAACGCGUAGGUAACCUGCCUGGUAGCGGGGGAUAACUAUUGGAAACGAUAGCUAAUACCGCAUGACAACAGUUAUUGCAUGAUAACUGUUUAAAAGGGGCAACUGCUCCACUACCAGAUGGACCUGCGUUGUAUUAGCUAGUUGGUGAGGUAACGGCUCACCAAGGCGACGAUACAUAGCCGACCUGAGAGGGUGAUCGGCCACAAUGGGACUGGGGCACGGCCCAGACUCCUACGGGAGGCAGCAGUAGGGGAUCUUCGGCAAUGGACGGAAGUCUGGACGAGCAACGCCGCGUGAGUGAAGGAGGUUUUCGGAUCGUAAAGCUCUGUUGUAAGAGAAGAACGAGUGUGAGAGUGGAAAGUUCACGCUGUGACGGUAUCUUACCAGAAAGGGACGGCUAACUACGUG